This is a small nucleolar RNA of Magnolia sinica, 108 nucleotides long. The record is from RefSeq and is a predicted model, not a curated record. NCBI's taxonomy places the organism in Eukaryota, Viridiplantae, Streptophyta, Magnoliopsida, Magnoliales, Magnoliaceae.
UAGCCAUGAUGUAGACACGAAUUUAUAAUAUCCUUGAAUCUCUCCCAACUUUGGAAGAAGGUCUCUUCCUUUUUUUGGGCAAAAUUCAUGAUCACCCUCCUUAAACUA